GAAUUCGCCCUUAGAGUUUGAUCCUGGCUCAGGACGAACGCUGGCGGCGCGCCUAACACAUGCAAGUCGAACGAGCGAGAGGAGGUUUACUUUCUCAAGCGAGUGGCGAACGGGUGAGUAACGCGUGAGGAACCUGCCUCAAAGAGGGGGACAACAGUUGGAAACGACUGCUAAUACCGCAUAAGCCCACGACCCGGCAUCGGGUAGAGGGAAAAGGAGCAAUCCGCUUUGAGAUGGCCUCGCGUCCGAUUAGCUAGUUGGUGAGGUAAUGGCCCACCAAGGCGACGAUCGGUAGCCGGACUGAGAGGUUGAACGGCCACAUUGGGACUGAGACACGGCCCAGACUCCUACGGGAGGCAGCAGUGGGGAAUAUUGCACAAUGGGGGAAACCCUGAUGCAGCGACGCCGCGUGGAGGAAGAAGGUCUUCGGAUUGUAAACUCCUGUUGUUGAGGAAGAUAAUGACGGUACUCAACAAGGAAGUGACGGCUGACUACGUGCCAGCAGCCGCGGUAAAACGUAGGUCACAAGCGUUGUCCGGAAUUACUGGGUGUAAAGGGAGCGCAGGCGGGAAGGCAAGUUGGAAGUGAAAUCCAUGGGCUCAACCCAUGAACUGCUUUCAAAACUGUUUUUCUUGAGUAGUGCAGAGGUAGGCGGAAUUCCCGGUGUAGCGGUGGAAUGCGUAGAUAUCGGGAGGAACACCAGUGGCGAAGGCGGCCUACUGGGCACCAACUGACGCUGAGGCUCGAAAGUGUGGGUAGCAAACAGGAUUAGAUACCCUGGUAGUCCACACUGUAAACGAUG
This 802-nucleotide ribosomal RNA is filed under the name uncultured bacterium. RNAcentral's name for it is "bacterial SSU rRNA". It matches the Rfam family "Bacterial small subunit ribosomal RNA", at positions 1 to 811 of the family's 1533-position model. The record is from RNAcentral.